UGGCCUCCUGCUUCAACAGUGCUUGGAUGGAGCCCA
This is a non-coding RNA of Fukomys damarensis (Damara mole-rat), 36 nucleotides long. Lineage: Eukaryota; Metazoa; Chordata; Mammalia; Rodentia; Bathyergidae. The record is from Rfam.